RNAcentral lists this long non-coding RNA (2296 nucleotides) under Gallus gallus (chicken). The record is from RNAcentral. Lineage: Eukaryota; Metazoa; Chordata; Aves; Galliformes; Phasianidae.
CUGGAACUGUGGCUGGGCACUCCAUCAUGCCGGUCCAUGGCGGAAUAGGUGUGGACUAACAUCUGGAAAUAAAAAAAGUCUUGUAAUAGCUAAAAAUCAAAGUGUGGCGAUAACACUAAUAUUUGGAAGGGAAAAAAAUAUAUAGAGAUAUAUAUCAAGGAGAUCUGCAAAGGGCCGUGUUGGACACAGGAGAACAGCUUGAGGUAUUUCGGAGACUAUCCAUCAAAAAAAGAAAAAAAAAAAAGAAAAAAAAAGAAAAAAAAAGAAAAAAAAAGAACCAAUGCCCCCAAAACCGAGCCUGGAAACCUCUAUCUACAUAUAUGAUUCACCCCUCCCUCUCUGUUGUUGUUGUUUUUUCUUUUUUUUUUCUUUUUUUUUCUUUUUUUUUUUUCCCUUUGAGCUCCCAAACGCAAUCCUCUUCAACCCAAGGCUGGGCUCAGACUGCUCCGCUACCCCUUCCUCCCUUUCCUUCCCUACGCCGCCUCAUAAUAAUUGAUAUUCAUGACUAUUAAUAUUACACGACUACUUUAAAGGGAGAAUGCAGGACCAAAUGGAGCGUGAAGCUGGCAGCCAGCUCGAGAGCUCCCCUACUAUUGUAAAUGACGUUCAUUCAGUGGAGAAUUACUCGAUGUAAUCAGACGAGGGGGGCUGGCAGGGGCAGAGUUUGGGGAGAGGGAGAGGGGGGAAAAAGUUUAGCAGGGAAGAGGCAGAACUUCAAUUAACUCGAGCGGGGGAAGACGUGGAAAGCAGACACUGAGCAGGGAAGGGAGAUGGAGCAGUGCUGGAGGCGAAGAAGAAGAAAAAACAUACAUUAUUUUGAAGGCUGCCCGGAACGGAAUGACCCGAAGAGCACCCGCGGGUUAGGAUCACUCUGCCCCAUCCCACCGCUCCCACGGCCGUGGAGGGACGCACGACGCUUUCAUCUCCCCUUCCAAAAACCAGAGUGGGGGGAGAGCCCCGACAUUCCCCCACCUCGCAGGACGGGAAGGGAGACGUUUUGUCGCCCGCUGCUGCGGCACAGACAAUGGCCGGGCUGUGCAGGGGACGGGGAAGGCUCGGCGGGGCCGGGGGCGGCCGGGGGACCCCCGCACACCCACCGGGCUGAGCUGCCGGUUGAUAACUAGCCUGAAUACAGCUCGGAGACACUGGGGCUGCGAAAAGUCGGAGCAGUGCCCUCUCUCUGCUUCUCUUUCUCUCUCUCUCCCUCUCUCUCUCCCUUUUUUUUUUUUUUUUUUUUUUUUUUUCCUCGUUUCUUUUUAACACUGAGUGCUUUCCCGAUGGAAGCCCGGAGCGAUGUGGGACCGCUUUGGGGCUGCAGCUAUGCUGCCCCGACGGCGCUUCCUCGGGGCGGACGGUAUCGCCCAGCGCCCUUCCAACACCGCCACUCAACAGCUGUGCGAAUCCCUCCCCGAUUCCUACGAACACCACCACCACCAAAUCCAAAUUAAAAACACAACCACCACCACCACCACCAAAAAAAAAAAAAAAAAAAAAAAAAGACGAAGCGGCAAACCUUUCCCUCCAUCUAAUUAUUAUUAUUAUUUGUUCCCAUUUCGGAGCCGAUCCAGCGCGCUGCUUUACUUACAAGGAACGCAUUCGCGGAGCCGUGUUGGGAAAGAUCCGGGCAAAAUUAAGAACCGUUUGGCUCUGCUGUGGUCCCCCCCCCUCCACACACACACCGUCCCCUCCCGCCUCGCUCUGCUUUUGGACCUCAAAAAUCCCGAGGAGGUCUCUGAAAUAAAGCCCAGAACUUUCCGUGCCCGCUUUGGAUGGAUCGGUUCGGCUGUGUGCACCCACGGACGUGCGACAAUGUGUGUGCCUCGUCAUUAGUGCGGGUGGAUGCGGACGCGCACAUCUUAUCUACCGGUGUGUGCGUGUAAAAAGAGUCGUAAAAACGCCAUCCGGUCGUGAAAAGGAGGAAAAGACAAAAUAUACAUAUAUCCAAAUUCGGGUUUGAGCUUAGAUUGGGAUCGGAAAUUAAGAAACUAGGACAAAAAGAAAAGAAAGAAAUGCAUCCCGUCCCCGAAUAGCAGAUCGCGUUUCUCUUCUAAUUUCAUCUUUUCCCCUCUUUCUCGACAUUUGCCCGUAUUUAAUCGAAUUACAUUUAAUUCGGGCUCUAAACAAUCCAACUCUUGCCUUUAAGUUGCCUCAUUCCAACCCCCAGAUCGUUUCUUUGAUGUUUUAAAUCGCAUCAAACAGCUUUUCCACGAAAGAAAAAAAAAAAAAAAAGAAAGAAAAAAAAAAGUUUAGGACUUGGCAUGCCGGCUACAAAUUUGCAAAUAAAUAAGCAUUUAAG